This 583-nucleotide ribosomal RNA is filed under the name Escherichia coli. Its description in RNAcentral is "partial 23S ribosomal RNA". It matches the Rfam family "Bacterial large subunit ribosomal RNA", at positions 2339 to 2916 of the family's 2925-position model. The record is from RNAcentral. Lineage: Bacteria; Pseudomonadati; Pseudomonadota; Gammaproteobacteria; Enterobacterales; Enterobacteriaceae. RNAcentral also lists the same sequence under 1 other name.
CAGGAGGUUAGUGCAAUGGCAUAAGCCAGCUUGACUGCGAGCGUGACGGCGCGAGCAGGUGCGAAAGCAGGUCAUAGUGAUCCGGUGGUUCUGAAUGGAAGGGCCAUCGCUCAACGGAUAAAAGGUACUCCGGGGAUAACAGGCUGAUACCGCCCAAGAGUUCAUAUCGACGGCGGUGUUUGGCACCUCGAUGUCGGCUCAUCACAUCCUGGGGCUGAAGUAGGUCCCAAGGGUAUGGCUGUUCGCCAUUUAAAGUGGUACGCGAGCUGGGUUUAGAACGUCGUGAGACAGUUCGGUCCCUAUCUGCCGUGGGCGCUGGAGAACUGAGGGGGGCUGCUCCUAGUACGAGAGGACCGGAGUGGACGCAUCACUGGUGUUCGGGUUGUCAUGCCAAUGGCACUGCCCGGUAGCUAAAUGCGGAAGAGAUAAGUGCUGAAAGCAUCUAAGCACGAAACUUGCCCCGAGAUGAGUUCUCCCUGACCCUUUAAGGGUCCUGAAGGAACGUUGAAGACGACGACGUUGAUAGGCCGGGUGUGUAAGCGCAGCGAUGCGUUGAGCUAACCGGUACUAAUGAACCGUGAGG